GAAAAGGAUGAUAAAAUAAAAUGGCAAGGACUAUGUGGAACCAAACAGCGACUACUGGCUGUCUUCUUGUAGAAAACCCUUGCACUGCUCAAGCAUCUCUACUCUAUUCCUUCCUUUUCUUCAUGCCCCCUAAGAGAGCAUAGCACAGCACCUGUUCUGGACAGAAGGACAGACAUCCGAGGGACAUGGGCAUCUCAUCUCAGGUAACACGCUCUUUCUGAUGGCUUGAGAGAGAGAGAAAAAAUAACUUUUUUGUUCAGAUUAAAUAAUACCUGACCUUUUGGCCUUUUAGAUUUUGGUGUUUAUUGACCUUUCAGACAAACACAGAUACUUUUGUUUUAUUUUGAGAGAGGCAAGGAGGCAAAGUGUUGUGAGGGAGGGAAGUUAAUGCCAAGUCCUUCUGAUGUCCGAUCGGUUGCAGGAGAACAGCAGUGCUGACAGUGGUAUA
RNAcentral lists this long non-coding RNA (448 nucleotides) under Cyanistes caeruleus (blue tit). RNAcentral describes it as "lncRNA (ENSCCEG00000002285.1)". Lineage: Eukaryota; Metazoa; Chordata; Aves; Passeriformes; Paridae. The record is from RNAcentral.